UGGACACGUCGGGCGGUCCGGGCCGCUGCCGCGCCUGCCGCACCCGACCGGGACCCACCCCCGGCAGCCCCUCCGGGCUUCCUCGGGGAAGCCCCGGCCCACUCCUCCUGCCGUCGGGCUCUUGCCCGGCCCUGCCAAGGCGCGUCCCGGGCUGGCCUCGCCUCCCCCGACGUGCUGUGGCGGGUCUGGGCCUGAGGCAGCUGGAGGGGCUUGGUUCCAGUACUCUGUGUCUCUGUGUGUGUGUGUGUGCGUGUGUGUGUAUCCCCACGGGUGAUAGGGACGUCCGGGUGGGGCCGUGAGCCGGUCUCCGCUCCCCUCGACGCUUAAGGGCGAGCCGAAGCCAGGUGAGUCGGGGAGGAGCGGAGACCCCUGCGGGAGCCAUCCCGGUGCGAUUAACCCUCCUCUCCCUCUGCUUUUCCCCGCAGGUGAGGCCGCACCGUCGAGGCCGGAGGCGGCUCGAGAGCAGCGGGGGCCGCAGGCAGAUUCCUCAGGACAGAUAUCUUCUGCAAGUCCUUUCAGAGGAGAUCUACCAGUGAGAUGUCCACAAUAGCAGAUUGAAAAGGAUGAUAAAAUAAAAUGGCAAGGACUAUGUGGAACCAAACAGCAACUACUGGCUGUCUUCUUGUAGAAAACCCUUGCACUGCUCAAGCAUCUCUACUCUAUUCCUCCCUUUUCUUCAUGCCCCCUAAGAGUUCACUGGUCACACAAAGAUGCACAACAAUAGUGAAGUAUGGG
RNAcentral lists this long non-coding RNA (735 nucleotides) under Parus major (Great Tit). RNAcentral's name for it is "lncRNA (ENSPMJG00000000191.1)". Lineage: Eukaryota; Metazoa; Chordata; Aves; Passeriformes; Paridae. The record is from RNAcentral.